GAUGAAGAACGCAGUAAAAUGCGAUAAGUAAUGUGAAUUGCAGAAUUCAGUGAAUCAUCGAAUCUUUGAACGCACAUUGCGCCCGCCAGUAUUCUGGCGGGCAUGCCUGUUCGAGCGUCAUUUCAACCCUCAAGCACAGCUUGGUGUUGGGACUCGCGUUAAUUCGCGUUCCCCAAAUUGAUUGGCGGUCACGUCGAGCUUCCAUAGCGUAGUAGUAAAACCCUCGUUACUGGUAAUCGUCGCGGCCACGCCGUUAAACCCCAACUUCUGAAUGUUGACCUCUGAUCAGGUAGGAAUACCCGCUGAACUUAAGCAUAUCAAUAAGCGGAGGA
Molecule: unclassified non-coding RNA, 332 nt
Filed under: soil metagenome
Description: partial contains 5.8S ribosomal RNA, internal transcribed spacer 2, and large subunit ribosomal RNA
Rfam family: 5.8S ribosomal RNA (bases 1-120)
Source: RNAcentral